RNAcentral lists this ribosomal RNA (496 nucleotides) under uncultured microorganism. Its description in RNAcentral is "bacterial SSU rRNA". It matches the Rfam family "Archaeal small subunit ribosomal RNA", at positions 234 to 734 of the family's 1478-position model. The record is from RNAcentral.
UGUUGGGGUAACGGCCCAACAAGCCUGUAAUCGGUACGGGUUGAGGGAGCAAGAGCCCGGAGAUGGAUUCUGAGACACGAAUCCAGGCCCUACGGGGCGCAGCAGGCGCGAAAACUUUACAAUGCGGGCAACCGUGAUAAGGAAACCCCGAGUGCCAGCACAGGCUGGCUGUCCACCAGUGUAAACAGCUGGUGAAGAAAGGGCCGGGCAAGACCGGUGCCAGCCGCCGCGGUAAUACCGGCGGCUCGAGUGGUGGCCGCUAUUACUGGGCUUAAAGGGUCCGUAGCUUGAUAUACAAGUCCCUUGAGGAAUCCGCCAGCUUAACUGGCGGGCGUUCAGGGGAAACUGUAUUUCUAGGGACCGGGAGAGGUGAGAGGUACUGCCGGGGUAGGAGUGAAAUCCUGUAAUCCCGGUGGGACCACCUAUGGCGAAGGCAUCUCACCAGAACGGGUCCGACAGUGAGGGACGAAAGCUGGGGGAGCAAACCGGAUUAGAU